RNA transcript from Nilaparvata lugens (brown planthopper), 3713 nucleotides. It is a transcript of the gene named activating signal cointegrator 1 complex subunit 1, with no coding region annotated. The transcript has 5 exons. The record is from RefSeq and is a predicted model, not a curated record. Lineage: Eukaryota; Metazoa; Arthropoda; Insecta; Hemiptera; Delphacidae.
AUUUCCAACACGAUAGCAAAGAACAAUUUCCAAGCAAAUUCCAAUCCAGUACAAAACAAAUACAAUACAGUACCGAUAUCAUAUUUUCGAGUCAUGUCUGUAUUUGUGUGUCAAACAUAUCUGCACCUUGUAGAUGUUCUCCAUGAAUGAGACGUAUUCUCUGCAUCUUUCUAGAAACCCACAUGAAGAAAUCAAAUAGAAAACAACACUUGCAAUAUGCUGUGAGUAAGCGGUUAUAAUGCUUAGCAUUUCUAUUCCACCAUAUUUACUAAAAUACAUGGAGAACUGAAUAAGUUGAAAGUACUCAGCUAUUGAUGUCAAGAAAAUAGCAAAUCCUGAGCGGAUAAAGUGCCAGAUUUUCUGAUUUUUAUCAUUGAAGGGUUUCCCGAUCAAACUAUUAUAAGUUUCAAUCGUGGUAAUACCAGAUGCGAAACAGACAUUGUGAUAUAUUCUUUGCAUUAAUUCCAUCACGAACUGUGAAGUCCGUUAAAUUUAAAAAUCUCAAAAUGGUUAUUGCAGAAUGUUCUUGAGAUGUGAUGAUCCGCUAUCUAUAACUGUAGAAGCAGUGAACUGAGUACAAUAUUGACUUUCUUCCAUGCCGGUAUUUUUUGCAAUUAUUCUAAUCUUGAAAUCUCGAAAUUUCACCUUUAGAGAUAAGUGAUUGAAAAAAUAAGCAAUCUUUACUAUCUAGUGAAGCAAAUGUAGGCUGGACUGUUUUAAGGAAAACAUUCCAUCAUUAUUCAACCUGUUUGUUUCACAAAUACCUUUAUAGAGUUUUCGAAACAAAUUAAAUUUCGUGAAUUGCUUCAGAAAUUUUCAAUCUGCAUUAGUCCAAUCCACAUGAUAUGAAAACAAAUACUUGAUACCACAACGAAAUGAUAAUAAUUUUUCUUGUUAUAUCAAUUCACGGUACAAAAGUUUUAGUUGAUGAACCCACAGUGUUAAUAAUAUAUCAGACAUUGAAAAGCAAAAACGAUUCGAUAUGUCCUUGAGGAUUAUGUUAUUUCUUAUCAUAAAACUCUGGAAAGGUAAUUAACUCUAAUGAUAGUACAUAAGUUCAAUAAUUCAGUGAUUUAUAAUAUCCUAAAUUUUAUGAGUUUAUGAAUUGUCAAUAUUCUAUCUAAUGAAUUCUCAAAACAAUAAGAUCUAAAUUACUUUGUGUGAAUGUACGAUAUUAAAUGGGAAAACAAUAUUUUCUAUCGGAACCGAAUACAUAUAAGUGUAUUUUGAAAAACUGAACUUGAGAUACAUGCUGCAAAUUAACAUUGAAUAAAAUGUAACAAUAUUACAUUAGUUGAGCUAUAUUAGUGGGACUGAAAUGUGAUUGAUGAAUUUGUUGGUCUGAACAGAGCUCACUCUUCGCGCUCACCUACUGUACAAAUAAUCGUGAAUAGCACAUAUGUUUAAUCCAUAAAUUUCAAAGGAUGUCAUUGAUUUUCGAGCUGGUUAUAAGACAAAUAUCUUUUAUUAUGAGUCAAACAGAUAAUACAAACAUCAAAAAAUAAACUAACUAUAUUUUCAAGAAAUAAGACAUUCCCAAUGAGACAUUCUACUAACAUGGCACAUUUUGGAACGAUUGUUUUUUCCAAUCAAUCUAAUCUAAAGUUCUAUUGUCAAGACGAUUCUCUUUUGUAUUCUAAAUAAAUAAUUGAAUAAAAAAACCAAUCCUAGUAAUGUCUAAUUUUUUUUGUAGAUCAACAUGAUUUGGUAAUUUACAAUGAAGAUUGCUGGGUUUAUUUAGAGUUUUCCAUAUAUGAUGAAAGUUUUGAACUCUCAGAAGCAAUCUGACUUCCACAGUAUUGUGGAUAAAUAUUGGCAUUUGGAUAAAAAUUCUAAGUAAAUUUAUGAUACCGUAUGUCCAAUAUGACUUGAUGAAUGAAUCGGGAAAUCAUGUUCAAUCUACUUCAAUAGCUGAGCCGAUUUUCCCCUAUUUAUAUUGGUGUACAAAUAAUAUUUAUUUUCCUUUUCUGUGAAAUGGAAUGAUACCUACACAACGUGCUGAUUGGUAGAUAUUGACGAAGAUUGGCAUUUCCAUUGAUUUUUGUAGUAACUUACAAUCCCAUAGCAAUGAAGUACUUGAAUUUCGUCUCUGAUCAGGUUUGCUGAGACAUUUAGCGAAAGUUCCAACUAUUCCAACUUUUUCUUGUAGAAGUUCUAUCAAUUGAUUGAAUUUUGAAAUAAUUUAAAUCUUUAAUUAAUAUAGAUAGUUGAUUUUUGUAUGAAAUUGAAUAACUUUUAUCCAUUAUUGUUAAUCUUAACCUUAAAUAAUCAAUAAUUAUUAUAAACAAUCAUAUAUUUUAUUCAGUAUUAAAUUUUGAAAUUUUCAGAAAUAUUUUUUUCUAUUGAGUACUGUAUGAUCAGCUCUCUCUACAGAACAAACAUUAACUGAAAUAUUUAUCCUUUUGGAAAACAGCUACCGUAUUGAAACUAUUGAAAACUUACAUCUUCAUGUCAGUAUUGUCAGUCAUUGCACCAAUAAUUUAUUAUCUAUGCAGUUUGAGUGGUGUGAUUACAAGGCGCGAUGACGAUGUUCUUGGGGAGAAAGAGCCAAGCCUCUGUUACCAAGUGACCAGAUUUUUUUUCUGCUUAACUUUCAAUUUACUUAUUUUAAUUAUUACUGAAUUCAUAGUUUACCUAAACUUCUACAUAUCUUUUAGAGAAAAUACCACUGAUGUAAAAAAUGUGAAUAUGAUGUAUUUUAUGAGCGAUGCAUUUUUACAUAAUUCAAAAAUAGUAUUCAUCGUAAUUUCAUCGCUGACAUCUUUUUGGCGAUGGCGAGAAUACUACAGUCUAAUUAACAAACUCGCAGUCAUCAGAUCAAGUUUGAUGUUCACAACUAAGUACAGAGGCAAAGUUUUCUUUUUCCUAAUGUAUGUAUUUGUAUUAUUAACGUUUUUCUGUAGUAGAAUGAGAGUGGGGUACUUGAGUACAAUAAUAACAAAUUGUUUAGUAAUACCCAACAUAAUUAUACAAAUAACUUUGAUCCAAUUCAUUUACACCUUCUACGAAAUAAACAUGAUCCUCAUGAAUGCUCUAAUGAAGAUUAAUAUGAACCUUGAAGAAAUUCAUGCUAAAAUCAAGAAUGACAACUUGAAUGAUAUCAAUCUCCUUGUAGAUGGACAGUGUGAUCUACAACUAGUUGACUCUCUGAGGAACUUGAGUGAAGAGCUUCGAUCAGCAAUGGAGUUGACCAACCACAUUUUUGGACUACAAAUACUAGCCGCUACCUUCGACUUAUUCCUUAACAUUGUCAUCACUCCCUAUUUCUUAUACAUAGAUAUAAAAACAACUUCGAGCUCUGGUCAUGUAUUUAUGAUGACGAAAGAGGGAAAAGUAUUUUGGACCAUAGCAAAUAUAUUGAAGCUUGUUUUCUUGUUUCUUCCAUGCGCUUCUACCACUGAUGAGGCUGCUAAAUGAGGAUCUGCAGCCAGGCAUGAAGAAAGAGCUGAAAACCUUCUUGUUGCAAUUACUGUCAUCUCAUAAGAUAAUGGGCUUCUCUGCUAGUGGAAUGUUUGAAUUGAAUCUGUCAUCUAUCAUUUCCGUUGCUGGAGCUGUAACUACAUACCUGGUUGUUCUAAUUCAAUUUCAAAGUGCUUGAAUGACCGAGUGCUCUCUAGUCUCUACGAUGGUUGCUGCUUCAACCAACUAAAUUUAAAAUCAGCCACGAGAGAGUAGCCAGGAAAACAGUCAGCAAUAUAGUCUCAUUUUUGAUG